CACGUAGUUAGCCGGGGCUUUCUUCUCCUAUACCGUCACACAUCAGGCAGUUACUCCUGAUGCUGUUCGUCUAGGGCAACAGAGCUUUACGAUCCGAAAACCUUCAUCACUCACGCGGCGUUGCUCCGUCAGACUUGCGUCCAUUGCGGAAGAUUCCCUACUGCUGCCUCCCGUAGGAGUCUGGGCCGUGUCUCAGUCCCAGUGUGGCCGUUCACCCUCUCAGGUCGGCUACGCAUCGUCGCCUUGGUGAGCCGUUACCUCACCAACUAGCUAAUGCGCCGCAGGCCCAUCUUCAAGCCACAGAUUGCUCCGUGUUUUAUGAUUCUCUCAUGCGAGAAAACCCAGUUAUCCGGUCUUAGCUAUCGUUUCCGAUAGUUAUCCCAGUCUUAAAGGCAGGUUACCUACGUGUUACUCACCCGUCCGCCGCUAGCUUGUCCCGAAGGACAAACCCGCUCGACUUGCAUGUAUUAGGCACGCCGCCAGCGUCG
This 488-nucleotide ribosomal RNA is filed under the name uncultured Paenibacillus sp. Its description in RNAcentral is "partial 16S ribosomal RNA". The record is from RNAcentral. Lineage: Bacteria; Bacillati; Bacillota; Bacilli; Caryophanales; Paenibacillaceae.